GAAUAUUGGACAAUGGGGGGGACCCUGAUCCAGCCAUGCCGCGUGUGUGAAGAAGGCCUUUUGGUUGUAAAGCACUUUAAGCGAGGAGGAGGCUACUCUAGUUACUACCUAGAGAUAGUGGACGUUACUCGCAGAAUAAGCACCGGCUAACUCUGUGCCCGCAGCCGCGGUAAUACAGAGGGUGCAAGCGUUAAUCGGAUUUACUGGGCGUAAAGCGCGCGUAGGUGGCCAAUUAAGUCAAAUGUGAAAUCCCCGAGCUUAACUUGGGAAUUGCAUUCGAUACUGGUUGGCUAGAGUGUGGGAGAGGAUGGUAGAAUUCCAGGUGUAGCGGUGAAAUGCGUAGAGAUCUGGAGGAAUACCGAUGGCGAAGGCAGCCAUCUGGCCUAAUACUGACACUGAGGUGCGAAAGCAUGGGGAGCAAACAGG
RNAcentral lists this ribosomal RNA (426 nucleotides) under uncultured bacterium. RNAcentral's name for it is "bacterial SSU rRNA". It matches the Rfam family "Bacterial small subunit ribosomal RNA", at positions 359 to 776 of the family's 1533-position model. The record is from RNAcentral.